RNAcentral lists this transfer RNA (72 nucleotides) under Camelus bactrianus (Bactrian camel). It matches the Rfam family "tRNA". From Rfam's summary of the family: Transfer RNA (tRNA) molecules are approximately 80 nucleotides in length. Their secondary structure includes four short double-helical elements and three loops (D, anti-codon, and T loops). RNAcentral also lists the same sequence under 1 other name. Lineage: Eukaryota; Metazoa; Chordata; Mammalia; Artiodactyla; Camelidae. The record is from Rfam by way of RNAcentral.
GAAGCUAUAGCUCAGUGGUAGAGUGCACGCUUAGCAUGCAUGAUGUCCUGUGUUCCAUCCUCAGUACCUCCA